This 1203-nucleotide long non-coding RNA is filed under the name Zonotrichia albicollis (white-throated sparrow). RNAcentral describes it as "lncRNA (ENSZALG00000007260.1)". The record is from RNAcentral. Lineage: Eukaryota; Metazoa; Chordata; Aves; Passeriformes; Passerellidae.
GAUCAUUCCAAUGUUGGAGGAUCUGGUGGAACGUUCUGGUGUUGGAAAAUUCUGGUCCUGGAUCCCUCUGGGCAUCCCCAGGGUGGAACAUUCCGGAUUGGAGCAUCCUGGUGUGGGACCAUCCCAGGGAUGGAGCGUCCUGCUGUGGGAUCUCCUGCUGUGGGAUCAUCCCAUUGUGGGAUGUCCUGCUGUGGAAUCCUCUGCUGUGGGAUCUACUGUGGGAUCUCCUGCUGUGGGAUCUCCUGCUCUGGGAUCAUCCUGCUGUGGGAUCCUCUCCUGUGGGAUCUCCUGUUGUGGGUUCGUCCUGCUCUGGGAUCCUCUGCUGUGGGAUCUACUGUGGGAUCUCCAGCUGUGGGAUCAUCCCAGUAUCGGAGCAUCCCCGUGAUGGAACAUUCUGGGAUCGGAGCAUCCUGGUCCCAAAGCGUCCCAGUGUCAGAGCAUCCCAGUGUGGAGCAUCCCAGUAUGGAGCAUCCCAGUAUGGGAUCAUCCCAAUAUGGAGCAUCCCAGUGUGGGACAUCCCAGUGUGGGACAGCCCAGUGUGGAGCAUCCCAGUGCUGGACCAGAACAGGGCUGGAGCAUCCCAGUUUGGAAUAUCCCAGUAUGGAAUAUCCCAGUGUGGGACAUCCCAGUAUGGAGCAUCCCAGUUUGGAAUGUCCCACUAUGGAGCAUCCCAGUAUGGAACAUCCCAGUAUGGAGCAUCCCAGUAUAGAAUAUCCCAGUGUGGAGCCAUCCCAGUAUGGAGCAUCCCAGUGUGGGACAUCCCAGUGUGGGAUCACCCUGGUGUGGGAACAUCUUGGUGCCAGAGAUGUGAGUGAUGGAACAGCCCAGUGCUGCUCCAUCCCAGUCCAUCCCAGUCCAUCCCAGUGCUGCUCCAUCCCAGUGCCAGCCUAUCCCAGUCCCAGUCCAUCCCAGUAACGGAGCAUCCCAGUGCCAAUCCAUCCCAGUACCAGUCCAUCCCAGUGCCAGUUUAUCCCAAUACCAGUUUAUCCCAGUGCCAGUUUAUCCCAAUGCCAGUCCAUCCCAGUGCCAAUCCAUCCCAGUGCCAGCCCAUCCCAGUCCCAGCCUAUCCCAUUAUCAGCCCAUCCCAGUCCCAGUUUAUCCCAGUCCCAGCCCAUCCCAUCCCAUCCCAGUGCUGGCCCAUCCCGAGGGGAAACUGAGGCAGGCUGUGGGCGGAGCGGGUGGCAGUGGCAGUGUUGGGGUCCC